AGCUCAGUGGCGUAGUGGUAACACAUUCCGAAUUCCUAUAUAUGUGUUUCGUUUGAUGGAAAGUUCGGAGUUCAAUUCUCUGUCAAGCCA
This is a non-coding RNA of Mycena latifolia, 90 nucleotides long. The record is from the annotation of a GenBank genome assembly. Lineage: Eukaryota; Fungi; Basidiomycota; Agaricomycetes; Agaricales; Mycenaceae.